Molecule: transfer RNA, 77 nt
Filed under: Paracoccaceae bacterium
Lineage: Bacteria; Pseudomonadati; Pseudomonadota; Alphaproteobacteria; Rhodobacterales; Paracoccaceae
Description: Rhodobacteraceae bacterium tRNA-Pro
Rfam family: tRNA
About the family: Transfer RNA (tRNA) molecules are approximately 80 nucleotides in length. Their secondary structure includes four short double-helical elements and three loops (D, anti-codon, and T loops). Further hydrogen bonds mediate the characteristic L-shaped molecular structure. tRNAs have two regions of fundamental functional importance: the anti-codon, which is responsible for specific mRNA codon recognition, and the 3' end, to which the tRNAs corresponding amino acid is attached (by aminoacyl-tRNA synthetases). tRNAs cope with the degeneracy of the genetic code in two manners: having more than one tRNA (with a specific anti-codon) for a particular amino acid; and 'wobble' base-pairing, i.e. permitting non-standard base-pairing at the 3rd anti-codon position.
Source: RNAcentral
CGGGGCGUAGCGUAGCCUGGUAGCGCGCCGGUUUUGGGAACCGGAGGCCGCGAGUUCGAAUCUCGCCGCCCCGACCA